Molecule: transfer RNA, 62 nt
Filed under: Cucujoidea sp. 44 KM-2017
Lineage: Eukaryota; Metazoa; Arthropoda; Insecta; Coleoptera
Description: tRNA-Thr
Rfam family: tRNA
About the family: Transfer RNA (tRNA) molecules are approximately 80 nucleotides in length. Their secondary structure includes four short double-helical elements and three loops (D, anti-codon, and T loops). Further hydrogen bonds mediate the characteristic L-shaped molecular structure. tRNAs have two regions of fundamental functional importance: the anti-codon, which is responsible for specific mRNA codon recognition, and the 3' end, to which the tRNAs corresponding amino acid is attached (by aminoacyl-tRNA synthetases). tRNAs cope with the degeneracy of the genetic code in two manners: having more than one tRNA (with a specific anti-codon) for a particular amino acid; and 'wobble' base-pairing, i.e. permitting non-standard base-pairing at the 3rd anti-codon position.
Source: RNAcentral
GUUUUAAUAGUUUAAAUAAAACAUUAGUCUUGUAAACUAAAAAUAGAAAAUUCUUUAAAACA